RNAcentral lists this ribosomal RNA (497 nucleotides) under uncultured bacterium. Its description in RNAcentral is "partial 16S ribosomal RNA". It matches the Rfam family "Bacterial small subunit ribosomal RNA", at positions 28 to 507 of the family's 1533-position model. The record is from RNAcentral.
GAUGAACGCUGGCGGCGUGCCUAAUACACGCAAGUCGAGCGAACGGACGAGAAGCCUGCUUUUCUGAUGUUAGCGGCGGACGGGUGAGUAACACGUGGAUAACCUACCUAUAAGACUGGGAUAACUUCGGGAAACCGGAGCUAAUACCGGAUAAUAUUUUGAACCGCAUGGUUCAAAAGUGAAAGACGGUCUUGCUGUCACUUAUAGAUGGAUCCGCGCUGCAUUAGCUAGUUGGUAAGGUAACGGCUUACCAAGGCAACGAUGCAUAGCCGACCUGAGAGGGUGAUCGGCCACACUGGAACUGAGACACGGUCCAGACUCCUACGGGAGGCAGCAGUAGGGAAUCUUCCGCAAUGGGCGAAAGCCUGACGGAGCAACGCCGCGUGAGUGAUGAAGGUCUUCGGAUCGUAAAACUCUGUUAUUAGGGAAGAACAUAUGUGUAAGUAACUGUGCACAUCUUGACGGUACCUAAUCAGAAAGCCACGGCUAACUACGUG